RNAcentral lists this ribosomal RNA (457 nucleotides) under uncultured bacterium. Its description in RNAcentral is "bacterial SSU rRNA". It matches the Rfam family "Bacterial small subunit ribosomal RNA", at positions 29 to 533 of the family's 1533-position model. The record is from RNAcentral.
AACGAACGCUGGCGGCAGGCCUAACACAUGCAAGUCGAGCGCCCCGCAAGGGGAGCGGCGGACGGGUGAGUAACGCGUGGGAACGUGCCUCUUGCUACGGAAUAGCCUCGGGAAACUGGGAGUAAUACCGUAUGUGCCCUACGGGGGAAAGAUUUAUCGGCAAGAGAUCGGCCCGCGUUGGAUUAGGUAGUUGGUGGGGUAAUGGCCUACCAAGCCGACGAUCCAUAGCUGGUUUGAGAGGAUGAUCAGCCACACUGGGACUGAGACACGGCCCAGACUCCUACGGGAGGCAGCAGUGGGGAAUCUUAGACAAUGGGCGCAAGCCUGAUCUAGCCAUGCCGCGUGAGCGAUGAAGGCCUUAGGGUUGUAAAGCUCUUUCAGUGGGGAAGAUAAUGACUGUACCCACAGAAGAAGCCCCGGCUAACUCCGCGCCAGCAGCCGCGGUAAUGUACAGUGU